Molecule: ribosomal RNA, 468 nt
Filed under: uncultured bacterium
Lineage: Bacteria
Description: partial 16S ribosomal RNA
Rfam family: Bacterial small subunit ribosomal RNA
Source: RNAcentral
GACGAACGCUGGCGGCGUGCUUAACACAUGCCAGUCGAACGGAAAGGCCCUGCUUUUGUGGGGUGCUCGAGUGGCGAACGGGUGAGUAACACGUGAGUAACCUGCCCUUGACUUUGGGAUAACUUCAGGAAACUGGGGCUAAUACCGGAUAGGAGCUCCUGCUGCAUGGUGGGGGUUGGAAAGUUUCGGCGGUUGGGGAUGGACUCGCGGCUUAUCAGCUUGUUGGUGGGGUAGUGGCUUACCAAGGCUUUGACGGGUAGCCGGCCUGUGAGGGUGACCGGCCACAGUGGGACUGAGGUACGGCCCAGACUCCUACGGGGGGCAACAGUGGGGAAUAUUGCACAAUGGGCGGUAGCCUGAUGCAGCGACGCCGCGUGCGGGAUGACGGCCUUCGGGUUGUAAACCGCUUUCGCCUGUGACGGAGCGUGAGUGACGGUAAUGGGUAAAGGAGCACCGGCUAACUACGUG